UGAUGAUCCUGGCUCAGGAUGAACGCUGGCGGCGUGCUUAACACAUGCAAGUCGAACGAACCUUCGGGUGAGUGGCGGACGGGUGAGUAACGCGUGAGAAUCUGCCCUCAGGAGGGGGAUAACGGCUGGAAACGGCCGCUAAUACCCCAUAUGCCGAGAGGUGAAAUGAAUUUCGCCUGAGGAUGAGCUCGCGUCUGAUUAGCUAGUUGGUGGGGUAAGUAGCCCUACCAAGGCUUCGAUCAGUAGCUGGUCUGAGAGGAUGAUCAGCCACACUGGGACUGAGACACGGCCCAGACUCCUACGGGAGGCAGCAGUGGGGAAUUUUCCGCAAUGGGCGAAAGCCUGACGGAGCAACGCCGCGUGAGGGAUGAAGGCCUCUGGGCUGUAAACCUCUUUUCUCAAGGAAGAAGAUAUGACGGUACUUGAGGAAUAAGCCACGGCUAAUUCCGUGCCAGCAGCCGCGGUAAUACGGGAGUGGCAAGCGUUAUCCGGAAUUAUUGGGCGUAAAGCGUCCGCAGGCGGCCUUGAAAGUCUGCUGUUAAAGCGUGGAGCUUAACUCCAUUUCAGCGGUGGAAACUACAAGGCUAGAGUGUGGUAGGGGCAGAGGGAAUUCCCGGUGUAGCGGUGAAAUGCGUAGAUAUCGGGAAGAACACCAGUGGCGAAGGCGCUCUGCUGGGCCAUAACUGACGCUCAUGGACGAAAGCCAGGGGAGCGAAAGGGAUUAGAUACCCCUGUAGUCCUGGCCGUAAACGAUGAACACUAGGUGUCGGGGGAAUCGACCCCUCCGGUGUCGUAGCUAACGCGUUAAGUGUUCCGCCUGGGGAGUACGCACGCAAGUGUGAAACUCAAAGGAAUUGACGGGGGCCCGCACAAGCGGUGGAGUAUGUGGUUUAAUUCGAUGCAACGCGAAGAACCUUACCAGGGUUUGACAUCCUGCGAAUCCCUUGGAAACGAGGGAGUGCCUUCGGGAGCGCAGAGACAGGUGGUGCAUGGCUGUCGUCAGCUCGUGUCGUGAGAUGUUGGGUUAAGUCCCGCAACGAGCGCAACCCACGUCUUUAGUUGCCAGCAUUGAGUUGGGCACUCUAGAGAGACCGCCGGUGAUAAACCGGAGGAAGGUGUGGAUGACGUCAAGUCAUCAUGCCCCUUACAUCCUGGGCUACACACGUACUACAAUGCUACGGACAAAGGGCUGCAAACUCGCGAGAGCUAGCUAAUCCCAUAAACCGUGGCUCAGUUCAGAUCGUAGGCUGCAACUCGCCUACGUGAAGGAGGAAUCGCUAGUAAUCGCAGGUCAGCAUACUGCGGUGAAUACGUUCCCGGGCCUUGUACACACCGCCCGUCACACCAUGGAAGUUGGCCACGCCCGAAGUCGUUACUCCAACCC
This 1384-nucleotide ribosomal RNA is filed under the name Cyanobium sp. CZS_25G. RNAcentral's name for it is "bacterial SSU rRNA". It matches the Rfam family "Bacterial small subunit ribosomal RNA". The record is from RNAcentral. Lineage: Bacteria; Bacillati; Cyanobacteriota; Cyanophyceae; Synechococcales; Prochlorococcaceae.